Molecule: long non-coding RNA, 3499 nt
Filed under: Helianthus annuus (common sunflower)
Lineage: Eukaryota; Viridiplantae; Streptophyta; Magnoliopsida; Asterales; Asteraceae
Description: hypothetical non coding rna
Source: RNAcentral
UAUGAAUUGAAGAACUCGUCCUCCUACCGCUUGAGCGCAAGGUUUUUUUAGAAUUCAAUCAUCCAAUUAUACUUUCCAUCUUCCGUGUCUUUCUCAUUAUGUAUUUUUUUCCCAAUCAACUCAAAUCCUAGAUUAAACGUACUCAACCCUAACCUAAUCCUUUUCAGAUUUGUAUUUGAUUACGAUUUGGAUCAAAUUUGUGUUAUCAGAUCCACAUUUUACGAAAUCAUCAUUGUUUCUGGAAAUGAUUUGAACUAGGUUUCAAUGCAUUAUCCCUAAAUUCAGUAGAUGAUUUGAACAGGUACAUGAUGCAUAUUUCUUUUUGGAAGAUAAAUACAGGAAGCGAAAGAGAGGGUAGAAACUAGAAACAAUGACUUAAAUUGGUUAAUGCUCAAAGUAAAUGCUCUCUUAGUCUCUAUUUCAUAUUACUGAAAUGAAAAUAAGAUUUCGUUCAUGUCUGGUCGAUCAUCUGGAUCUGGUUGAGUGCAGCGUAAAGCCAACUGAAGAAUCUGUGCUACAACAUCGUGUAUUGUGGAGAAAUCGGAAGCCAAAUCUGGAUCUACAAUUUCAAUCAGCCCAUUGAUUCCGUUUGAAAGUGAUUGUUCUAUCAAUUGUGGCAAAGUUAUGUCAUCUUCGAAGAAACACUGCUUCCAUCCUGGUGAUGAACUCCCAGAAUCCGAGCUGUCCCGAAGUCGCUAACAUGAGCAUUCCAUUUUUCAUCUAGAAGAAUAUUAGAAGGCUUUAAAUCACAGUGAACCAUGGUGAAGUCGUAUUCGGAAUGCAAAUAAACCAGUCCUCUUGAAACUGAAACAAGAACAUCAACUCUCUCAGAAAGAUCAAAUCUUGUUCGAUCAAUCCCAGUGUCAUGUAUAAUCUUAUCCAGAUUACCAUUUUCCAUGUAUUCAAGAACCAAAGCCUUUAAUUUCCCACUCUCCCAUGCAUAACCAACCACUUUCACUAGAUUUCUAUGCCUCAGUUUUGCUAAUGUGUUCAUUUCUUGGUAGAAACUCUUAUCAGAUUCUUCUGAAAACUCUAUAAAAUUCAGAGUUUUUACUGCUAUCAUCUUUCCGUCUGCUAGUUUACCCUUGUACACUGUGCUUAAACUGCUUGUUCCCAGAAUAUUACUUUCACUGAAUCCAUCAGUAGCACUUUCCAGUUCUUUUCUAUCAAAUCUUUUGAGAGGGAACGCUUGGGUGAAUUUUGGUUCACCAGAUUCAUUAACUUUCGGUUUUCGAACACGACAAUAACAUAAAACUCCUAACAUUAAGACAAGAAGCAAAGCUAGAGAUCCGGCUAUUGCGAAAAUAAAUACCACUUUUCUGGAUAUUUGAUGUGAAUGAUUUGAUUGGGUUGAGAAGGCACAUGACUUGGUGUCAUUGGUAACACACAGAGACGGAUUUCCAAGUAAUCCAACUACACUAGAGUUUUUGAAGAGUUUGGUAUCAGGAACACGUCCCUCGAGAUGAUUGAACGAGAGAUUGAGGUGUUUUAAUGCCACAUUGUUGCCAAAAUUUUCAGGAAUCGUGCCAUUGAAUUUGUUUUGUGAAAGAUCAACCGAAGUAAGAAGUGUCAGAUUCGCCAUGCUUUCUGGGAUCUCUCCUACCAACUGAUUUCUUGAGAGAUUUAUGUAGUAAAGAACGUCAAGAGUAGGGAAUAUUUUGUUAGAGAGGGCACCGGAAAGCUGAUUUCCUGACAAAUCAAGACUUUGCAGGUUUCUGCAGUUCUGAAUUGUUACAGGAAUACCUCCUGACAGAUUAUUGUUUGAGAUAUCAAUGGCUUGUACCAUCUCCAUCUUCCCAAACUCACUUGGGAUAGUUCCUGUCUAUCAAAACCAACCGGUUCGGUUUUGUCAAGCUGUCCCCAAUCGACCCGUUAAACCUGUUUCUGCUGAGAUCCAACCGAGAAAGCAUCCCGAGCCUUGAAACAGAAUUCAGAAUUGAACCUUCAAAGUUGUUGUUCAUCAUGUAGAGUUCAGUGAGCUGUUUAAGCUCAAAGAUUUUAUCAGGAAUCCGACCUUGUAGAUUAUUAUCACCGGUCGAAAGGCGUUGAAGGGAAGAAAUAUUUGAGAUUUCUACAGGGAUGGUGCCUGAAAAUUGGUUUUGCCCAAGAUCUAACACUAUCAAACUAGUUAAGUUUCCAAUUUCUUGUGGGAUUGGCCCGGAAAAAGAGUUACGCUGAAUCUUCAGCUUUCGGAGAUUAUUAAGAGACCCAAUGCUUGAAGGAAGUGGUCCUAUGAGAAAGUUUGUGCUCAAUGACAAUGUAGACAAAUUGACUAACCUGGAUAUGGAUGCAGGAAUUUCUCCCGUAAGCUUGUUCUUAUGAAGGGCCAAUUUCUCCAGAGAUUCCAGUGAGGAAAUCUCUGAAGAAACAUUCCCGCUUAGAUUAUUAUGUCCCAGUUGCAAACUAAUUAACGAUUUUAACUGAAACAAAGAUCUUGGGAUUGUGGAGUUCAGUUGGUUAUCGUAUAACCGCAAAAACUGUAAUCCCUGAAGAUUUCCAAUCUCACCAGGAAUGCUUCCAGUGAGCUUGUUGCUGUAUAGACUCAGAAGUUUGAGAUUUUUGCAACUACCAAUUUCAUAUGGUAUAUUUCCAGAAAGAGAAUUUUCAUUCAACUGAAGAAUUUGUAGUCUUGACAAAUUUCUGAUCUCACCAGGAAUGCUUCCAGUGAGCUUGUUAUCAUCAAGAUAAAGUUGUAGCAAAGAAGUGCAAUCACACAGGCUAUCAGGAAUGAUUCCAGUGAUGGAAUUUUUUCCCAAGUCUAGUGUCUGCAGAUUCCUGAGUUUUCCCAGUUCAGAUGGAAUUGGGCCAGAGAGGGAAUUGGUGUAAAGAUCAAGCAAUAAAAGCUUUGUGCAGUAUCCCAACUGGAAUGGAAUGUUACCAGUGAAUGAGUUAUAAGAUAAAUUAAGAAGCUGGAGGCUGGAAAGGUUUCCAAGAAAGGGAGAGAUUUGGCCUUUGAUGUGUGUUCCCUGAAUGGAAAUAGAAAUAACACGUUUGGUGAUAUUAUGGCAUUGGAUUCCAGUCCAGUUGCAAUGGUGGGUGGAAUCAGCAUUCCAAUCCAGGAGUGCACCAGUCGGGUCAUCAGUGAUUGCAUUCUUGAAGUGUUUUAAAGCAUUUGCUUCAUCUUCCAAGAUGGAAUCUGCUGAUAGAACACCAAGUACUAGAAAAGGUAGGAGUAUAAUGAUUUUAAACUUCAUUGAAGUGGUGAUGUGAUGAUUGUAUGAGUAGGAAGCUGGCCUUUAUAUUGCAGUAGUCAAUGGUCAACUGGAAUCAUUUUUUUAUUUUAAAAUUUAGUAUGUUACUGAAUAGAAACUUCCAAUAGUCGAGUGAGCUAGUAAAAAGAUUUUGAGUUCGCCGCCACUAGGAUGAAAAUGAUAUUAUAAGGGGAGGCAGGGUGGGGAAAAACUUUCCCGUGAUAAACAUGUUCCACGAGUGAUGGAAGGCAACAAACCACUGCCACCAUGCAACUUUAACGAGUGAUGGAAUUUAUACGUGAUAUAUU